This 440-nucleotide ribosomal RNA is filed under the name uncultured bacterium. Its description in RNAcentral is "partial 16S ribosomal RNA". It matches the Rfam family "Bacterial small subunit ribosomal RNA", at positions 338 to 795 of the family's 1533-position model. The record is from RNAcentral.
CCUACGGGAGGCAGCAGUGGGGGAUAUUGCACAAUGGGGGAAACCCUGAUGCAGCGACGCCGCGUGUGGGAAGACGGUCCUUUGGAUUGUAAACCACUGUCCCCAGGGACGAAGAUGACGGUACCGGGGGAGGAAGCUCCGGCUAACUACGUGCCAGUAGCCGCGGUAAUACGGAGGAGGCGAGGGUUAUCCGGUUUUACGGGGUUUAAAGGGUGCGCAGGCGGUCUGUUAAGUCAGCGGUCAAAGCCCGGGGCUCAACCCCGGGCCGCCGUUGAAACUGGCAGUCUCGAGUUGGAGAGAAGUAUGCGGAAUGCGCGGUGUAGCGGUGAAAUGCAUAGAUAUCGCGCAGAACUCCGAUUGCGAAGGCAGCAUGCCGGCUCCACACUGACGCUGAGGCACGAAAGCGUGGGUAUCGAACAGGAUUAGAUACCCGAGUAGUC